Molecule: transfer RNA, 77 nt
Filed under: Myroides odoratus CIP 103059
Lineage: Bacteria; Pseudomonadati; Bacteroidota; Flavobacteriia; Flavobacteriales; Flavobacteriaceae
Also listed under: 1 other name
Description: tRNA-Arg
Rfam family: tRNA
About the family: Transfer RNA (tRNA) molecules are approximately 80 nucleotides in length. Their secondary structure includes four short double-helical elements and three loops (D, anti-codon, and T loops).
Source: RNAcentral
GUCCGCGUAGUUCAAUUGGAUAGAAUAUCAGAUUUCGGCUCUGAGGGUUGAGGGUUCGAGCCCUUCCGCGGACGCAA